ACAGCAAAGGGAUCGCUCUAUUGUUGCGCUGCGCUCUGUCAUGCAAGCAGCUUAUUUGUGUUCCUCAAGUGUGAAUAUUUGCACCUUCGAAGGAUGUCUACGCAUCAUACACCAGUAGCGGCCGCUUUGUUCAUCUGUCCACCUGAGCUAACUUGAAGUCUUGCCUGGUGCAACCUGCCCAAGGUGAUUGAUGAAGCCCAGAGUGCUAGUACUGUGGGCAAUCGAUAACUAUUGGCCCGUGAGAUGAAUAAGUUGAUUUACAAGCACCGCGGGAAGGUCGCCAGGACUUUAUCACAAAACCA
Molecule: small RNA, 302 nt
Filed under: Histoplasma capsulatum var. duboisii H88
Lineage: Eukaryota; Fungi; Ascomycota; Eurotiomycetes; Onygenales; Ajellomycetaceae
Description: Histoplasma capsulatum H88 hypothetical RNA
Source: RNAcentral